AUGUAAUGUAAUUCCUAUAGUGUUAAUGCAUCAGAUCCCAUUAGAACUCUGUAGUUAAGCGCACUUGAGCUAGAGUAGUACUCAGAUGGGUGACCUCCUAGGAAGUCCUAGUGUUUUACAUG
Picea glauca (white spruce) is the source of this 122-nucleotide non-coding RNA. The record is from Rfam. Lineage: Eukaryota; Viridiplantae; Streptophyta; Pinopsida; Pinales; Pinaceae.